This is an RNA transcript of Lycium barbarum (goji berry), 4916 nucleotides long. RefSeq lists it as uncharacterized. The transcript has 4 exons. The record is from RefSeq and is a predicted model, not a curated record. NCBI's taxonomy places the organism in Eukaryota, Viridiplantae, Streptophyta, Magnoliopsida, Solanales, Solanaceae.
AGUAAUAGAACAAUCAUAAAUAAAUAAAAAAUGAAAAAGCUGAAAUUUUGAUUCCCUCCUAAAGUUCCCCCCAUACGCUCAUCUCAUUAACGCCUAUACUCAAAUAACUUCCCUCCAAAAUUAAACCCUCCACCUUCUCACUCACCCAAACCCUUCCCCUAAACACUUUGAUGAAAAACAGCGCAAUAUUAUAAUUUUUGCUUGCGGAUCUACCCGGAAAUCAGAGUAGAGGUGCUUCAAGUAGUCAUCAAGGUUGUAGCUUUGACAUACCUUCAAGCAGUCAAAGUAACAUUCUAGGGGAAGACUAUGAACAUGUAAACAGGUAUCAAGGUAUGGUUUAUGAUGCUGCUGGUGUAGAGUUCAAGCAUCAAGUUGAACCCAAUUUAGAAGAGUCUCCGAAUACGGAUGCUACCAGAUUUUACAAAAUGUUGAAUUCAGCUAAGGAACCCUUAUGGCCCGGAUGUAAAUAUUCAGAGUUGUCUGUGGCAGUCAGAGUGAUGAGUAUUAAAUCUAAGUACAAUAUGUCCCAUCGUUUUUUUAAUGCAAUGGCUCAAUUAAUGAAGGAUACAAGUCAUCAAGAUAGUAAGAUACCUCUUGAUUACUACUGGCCGAAGAAGCUAGUGUCAGGACUUGGUCUAACUAGUCAAAAAAUUGAUUGUUGUAUUAUGGAUGUAUGUUGUAUUACAAGGCUAAUAAAGAGAGACGGAAUGUAAGUUUUGUAAACAACCUUGCUAUAAAGAACGUGUGCACAAGAAGGGUAACAAAAAGGUUCCGCACAAGACAAUGCACCUGCCACUAAUUCCUCAGCUUCAACGACUAUAUGCUUCGAUGAGAUCUGCGGAGCACAUGAGGUGGCACUAUGAAAAUCGUAGGGAAGAAGGUGUGUUAUGCCACCCUUUGGAUGGAGAAACAUGGAAACAUUUCGACCGAACUUAUCCAGAUUUUGCUGCGGAGCCUAUGAAUGUUAGGCUCGGUCUCUGUUCUGAUGGCUUUACUCCUUAUAGCCAGUCAGCAUCACCAUACUCUUGUUGGCCGGUGAUUGUUACUCCCUACAAUCUUCCUCCUGAUAUUUGUAUGACUGCCCUAUAUAUGUUCUUAACAUUGAUCAUUCUAGGUCCUCAUAAUCCCAAGAAAAAAAUUGAUGUGUAUCUUCAACCGUUAAUAGAUGAGUUGCAACAAUGAUGGAAGGAUGGUGCACUAACUUAUGACGUGUCCAAGAAGCAAAAUUUUCGUAUGUGAGCUGCAUUGAUGUGGAUAAUUAAUGAUUUUCCUGCUUAUGGCAUGUUAUCAGGGUGGAGUACAGCGGGUAAAUUAGCAUGCCCAAUUUGCAUGGAACAAUCAAAAGCUUUCAGUUUGAAAUAUGGAAGGAAAGUUACUUGGUUUGAUUGUAACUGCCAAUUCUUGCCUCUCAAUCAUGAAUUUAUAAGAAACAAGAAUGCUUUUUAUAAAGGGAGAGAGGGUCUAAAAGAGAUGGACAAUCUAAUGGUAAAAGAGGAAAAUCAAGUAAAAGAAAGACAUGUGCGAUAAAGUGGCAAACAGUUCAAUUGCCUGCCAUUAUCCCUUCACGACCUCUCCCAUCUCAGAUUGGUCCACUUCAUGUCAAUGACUCUUCCUUGCAUCAAUCUAGUGUCAAAGUCAAUCGUUCCCAGCCUCAUAACACUAAUUUUGUGCCUCCCAUAAUUCCAUCACAACCCCUCCUAUCUCAUACUGGUCCACUUUAUGUCAAUGAGCCUUCCUUGCGUCAACCUAGUGUUGAUGUCAAUCGUUCCCAACCUCAUAACACACUAAUUUUGUGCCUCCCAUAAUCCCAUCACGACCCCUGUAUUCUCAUAUUGGUCCACUUCAUGUAAACGAGUCUACUUUGCCUCAACCUAAUCUUGAAAUUAAUCGAUUGCAACCUAAUAACAUUGAAUCUCAACCUCAAUCUAAUCAGUCCCAACCUAUAAAUCAAGAAACUGAUCCGUUGAUGUCACAACUGACUAAUAUGACUCCAGCCACCUCGUGUAGUACGGUUGGCAAUGGAGACGAUGAUCAGCGAAUAUGGAUUGUACCUGAGGUGGAUGGGUAACAGUACUAGUAAUAUAUGUGUGUGUGUGUGUAUAGAUGUUUGAUAACUACUGUAUUUUAUGUAGGUUUGAUUCUCACAAGCCAGUUAUUGAAGGUAUUGCUAGUUGCAUUCGUAGUAAAUUUGAGUUGGCUAAAUCUUCUUGGAAGAAGUUCCCGGAAUCUACUCGUGAUAUGUGGUUUGAGGAAUUCAAGGGAAGGAAAUUUAUAAUUAGGUUCAUGUUCAAAUACAGGUGGUGUGAGAUUGUAUGACUAAUGCAGUUUUCGUUUGAUAUGUGCAGAAGAAAUUUAGAUGGCUCCCUCACUAUAAUCAUGCUAUACGGUGCAAUUUUGAGAAAAGGGGAGCUGCAAAGAUGAGCCAACUUUUUCAAGAUGUUAGGAAAAACUUGAAUGUGAAGCCACAUUGAAUGGGGGAUGCUGUAUUCAAGGAGAUGAAGGAGCAUUGGGAGUCUGCUGCAUUCAAGAAAAAGUUCGAACAAAACAAGAAGAAUCGUGAUUCAAAUGCUGGUGCAUCACUUCAUACAGGUGGUUGCAUACCUCAUCGAGUCAUCUAUAAGAGAAUGAAAUAAGCUACUGGAAAAGAUCCUUCAAUUUCAGACUUUCAUUUCUGCACCCAUCGCAAGAAAAAUGAUAAAAAUUGGGUAAAUGAGAAAGCUGGAGCUACUUUUAUGAAUGCCAAUGCUGGAAAGGAUGAAACGUACAAAAUUCUUUUUUUUGUUAUGCUGCACGUACAUGAGAUUGUAAAGAUUAACACAUUAGUAAAGGUGUGAUAAUCUUUUGCUGUUCUCAUCGAACCAAAGGCAUUUGUUGUUGUAUCAGAUCCCAUUGUUUCUAGGUAUAUUCUUCGCGAGAAUGCAUAUUCUUAUGACAAGGUAUUGUACUAUGACUUCUCUCUUUCUCUCUCUCUCUCUCCAGCCCCUCCUCCUCCUCCCACCCCCAGAAAACCUCCUAGCCCUUUUGUUCUUUGCAACUCUUGUGUGCAUUCUUUAACACAUCUAAGGUCAUGCCUGCACUUGUAUAUACUCAUAUCUUAACUUGCCUCUAUCAAAAGUAAAUUAUCUAAAUUGCUUAUUAGCUUUGGUUAUAUUUGCAAUUCAAUAUCGCAAAAUGUCAAGUAUCAGUGGAACCUUUACACAACUAGUAGUUUCUCCUUGGUUCUUCAUUAGGUUAGUUACUAUGUUAUAUGGUGCAUCCGGAAUAGUUAUCCUUACUCAUUGAAGGAGAAAUCUACUGUAUGCAAAGAACUCAAGUUAACAUAUGAUAUUUGGACCUUGAUAUUACAUAUUUACAGUUUCUUGUUGCAUAUAGGUCCAUUAGUUUCUAUCAACUUCAAACCAUAAUAAUUCCAGGCCUUGUUUUUGUUAAGAACUUACUGAUGACCUUUCUUUUCUCUUUUUAAUUGUUAGGUAGAAAGUCUUGUUAAUAUACCUAUAUUAGCUGAUAUAAUUUAAUUUUUAUUGUUGCAUAAUUUUCUGUUUAAUAACAAUAGCAAGAAAUUCAGUCAACUUACCUUUAUUGUAUGUUGUAAUGCGGCUCUUCUUAUUUCUAGACUGAGUACUUUUGCUGUUAUAUGUUCAAUUUUUUAAUAAAGGGGUUACUUUUGCUGUUAUAUGUUCAACUGCAAAGAUUAACACAUUACUGCCUUUACUUUUAUUCUUUUUAUAUAUUCUCAUUGUAUGUGUCUUGUUCUCACUGUUGUCUUAAACUUUAAGGUUUAAAGCUCUUUUUAUUUUUUUAUUUUUUAAACAACUUUAAAGAAAUUCCAUUGCAAUAAGGAUCAGAAUUGUGGAUAUUCUUGAAAGAGACAUCAUAAAUAGAGAAAUUUGAGUAGAAGCAAACAAUACUAGCGCACUGUCGAAGGUCUGAUUAUUUUUCUCUCUUUAUCAUCACUUUUUUUCUUUUCCAGUUUUAAAAUUUUCAAGAUCUGAUUGUUUACGUUUUCAUUUGUUCAUUUAUAAUUUAUUUGUUGUGUUUCUUUUUCUUACAUAAUUUUAUACUGUUAAGUUAUUUUAGAUUUUCGAGAGUAACUCCUACCUAGUUUUCUGAUGCAAGAAAUGAGUUGGAUAGGAAGAAAUCAAAUUGGACUGAUUUUUCUAUCAACAGUUGAUGUAUGAAAAAACUCAAAUGGAGGCAAAGGAAGGGGGAUUGGGCAGUGAAAACUUAGGUGCUAUGUACUUGGGUACUUGAUCAGUAGGCAUAAACAUGAAGCAUUACAUAUGGUCUAAAAUAACUUGUUUUGAUGCAGAAUAAUUUUGAAAGAAAGAAACAAGAAUUAUCAGCUUCUCAAAGUGCAUCUGUUGUGGCAGGAGACACUAAUUCAGCUAGCCAAUCUUCUCAAUUAAGUGAAAUGGAUAUCUGGGUGCAAUUUGUUGGUGGAAAGAAAAAAGGAAGAGUUGCGGGUCUUGUCUCGUUGGGUCGAUCUGUAAAAGCACAUAAGCAAUCAACAUCGGCUUUAGCGGGAGAAAUUGAUGAGAUGAUUAAAUCCCAGGUACAUGCUUCCAAUGCUGACUUGUAUGCUAAGUGCGGGAAGAACGACGCAAAAAUAAGAGGAUGAGGAAAGAACUAGACUUGUUGAAGAAGCAUGUAUACAACGCAUCAUCUAAUGAACGUUCAUCUCAAGAAGACAAUCAAAGCUAUUAGAAUGAAAGUGAUGAUGACUCUGAUAAUGUGGAUGAAAGUGGCGAUGACUCUGAUAAUGUGGAUGCAAGUGAUUCUGAUCUGAGAACGUGAAUGAAAGGGACGGGAUUGAGAUAGUUGAUAGUACUAUUUAGGAUUCAAAUUUGAGAUUUUGUUUUUUCAUUUCAGAAUUAUACACUAUUGACAUGGAUGUUAUGAAUUAUGUUUUUUUUUUU